Molecule: ribosomal RNA, 1113 nt
Filed under: Bohadschia sp. 1 SWK-2011
Lineage: Eukaryota; Metazoa; Echinodermata; Holothuroidea; Aspidochirotida; Holothuriidae
Description: partial 16S ribosomal RNA
Rfam family: Bacterial large subunit ribosomal RNA
Source: RNAcentral
AGAUAAAAAGACAAGAAAGUCAAAACCCGAAAAGCGACGAGCUAACUACUUCUGCUUACAAGAGCCUGAACCUACUGUUGCAAUAGUAGUAGAAAAGGAGUAGUUAGGAGUGAUAUGCUAAACGAGUUGCUUGAUAGCUGGUUUUCAGGGAAACAGGUUUUAGCCUCUCCCCUCUACGAAUAAACAUCAUAUUCGAUAAACUCUUCAACAACUCAGGAGGAGGAAAGAGAACAAGGGAUAAGCCUUGUUCUCAAAAGGGAAACAACCCUAAGCGUAGUAAAGGUAGAAUAAUAGUAAAACAUCAAAGUAGGCCUAACAGCUGCCAUCCAACUAGAAAGCGUUAAAGCUCAACCCCCAAAUUACCCAAACCACAAGAACAACCAAACCUCACCAAGAGUACCUGAAAAAAAUAAUGUUAAGACAAGUAAAACGAUAACCCCUCCCCCUAUAAAGGAUACCAAAUCAUAGGGCAUAAAUCGAGAGUCCCUAACACUAGAAUUCCUCAACCCAGACAUAGAGAGGGAAGGAGAAAUAGCGAGGAAGGAACUCGGCCAACAAGGAGAAGGACUGUUUACCAAAAACAUAGCCUCCCGCAGAAAUUGGAGGUCAUGCCUGCCCAGUGGACGGAUCAGUCUAAACGGCCGCGGUAUCUUGACCGUGCCAAGGUAGCAUAAUCAUUUGUCUUUUAAAUGGAGACUCGUAUGAACGGCAAAACCUUUUCCAACUGUCUCCCCCGCUAUCCUUAGAAACUCCUAUCUAGGUGAAGAAACCUAGAUAACCCAGAAAGACGAGAAGACCCUGUCGAGCUUCAGUCCAAAAGGAUUAAACAGUAACGAAAGCUACAAGCAUCAAGAUAACAAUCCCAGAAGACUUUGGUUGGGGCAACCAUGGAGAAAAAGAAUACUCCAGUACGCGCAGAAGACACCACGUCACCACACAAGAACAAAAUGAGAACCAGAAACUGGCAAUCGGAAAAAGUUACCGCAGGGAUAACAGCGUAAUCUUCUCUAAGAGUCCUUAUUGACGAGAGGGUUUGCGACCUCGAUGUUGGAUUGGGACCUCCAUAGGGUGCAGAAGCUCUAAAGGGUUGGACUGUUCGUCCAUUAAAGUCCU